CCUACGGGGGGCAGCAGUAGGGAAUCUUCCGCAAUGGACGAAAGUCUGACGGAGCAACGCCGCGUGAGCGAAGAAGGUCUUCGGAUCGUAAAGCUCUGUUGUUAGGGAAGAACAAGUACCGGAGUAACUGUCGGUACCUUGACGGUACCUAACCAGAAAGCCACGGCUAAGUACGUGCCAGCAGCCGCGGUAAUAUGUAGGUGGCAAGCGUUUUACGGAAUCAUUGGGCGUAAAGCGCGCGCAGGCGGUCCUUUAAGUCUGAUGUGAAAUCUUGCGGCACAACCGUAAGCGGUCAUUGGAAACUGGGGGGUAUAAGGGCAGGAGAGGAAAGCGGAAUUACGUGUGUAGCGGUGAAAUGCUUGAAGAAAUGGGGGAACACGAGUGUGGAAGGCGGAUUUCUGGCCUGUAACUGACGCUAAGGCGCGAAAGCGUGGGUAGCAAACAGGAUUAGAUACACUAUUAGUC
This 465-nucleotide ribosomal RNA is filed under the name uncultured bacterium. Its description in RNAcentral is "bacterial SSU rRNA". It matches the Rfam family "Bacterial small subunit ribosomal RNA", at positions 338 to 795 of the family's 1533-position model. The record is from RNAcentral.